GAUGAAGAACGUAGCGAAAUGCGAUAAGUAAUGUGAAUUGCAGAAUUCAGUGAAUCAUCGAAUCUUUGAACGCAUCUUGCGCUCCUUGGUAUUCUGAGGAGCAUGCCUGUUUGAGUGUCAUUAAAUUCUCAACUACACUGACUUUGAAUUGGUGUGGCUUGGAUUUGGGGGGAAAAUUGUUGUGGGCUUUUUGUAUAGUCUGCUCCCCUGUAAUUGAUUAGCGGUACCUUUGUGGAACUGUCUACAGGUGUGAUAAUUAUCUACAUCUUAGACAUCUGCUGGAAUGCUGCUUUCUAAACCUUACUUGUAUUGACAAUCUUGACCUCAAAUCAGGUAGGACUACCCGCUGAACUUAAGCAUAUCAAUAAGCGGAGGA
Molecule: unclassified non-coding RNA, 376 nt
Filed under: soil metagenome
Description: partial contains 5.8S ribosomal RNA, internal transcribed spacer 2, and large subunit ribosomal RNA
Rfam family: 5.8S ribosomal RNA (bases 1-120)
Source: RNAcentral